Gasterosteus aculeatus aculeatus (three-spined stickleback) is the source of this 9262-nucleotide long non-coding RNA. Lineage: Eukaryota; Metazoa; Chordata; Actinopteri; Perciformes; Gasterosteidae. The record is from Ensembl.
UAUAUAUAUAUAUAUGUACAAUUAGUAAAGACUACUCUCGGCAUGAUAAAACUAAGUGUAUUCAUCCAAUAAUUUAUGUCACAUUUUGGAAAUAUAUUUUAAAAACUAAGAUCUAGGAAUUGCUUUGUUACUUUUGUCUUUCGUGGAAGUGAUACCUCGUUAAUUCAAUAGAUAUAGUCUUUAGAAAAAAAAGAAAAAAAGUAAAGAAAGAAAGUAGCCUAGGAGCUACCACCAAUGUUCCGGCCACUAUCAGUCCUAAAGUGGUCUGUUUGCCACUCGUCCGCCCUCUGUUUGACACGUUGAGAAACCACCAUCAGGUUAGGCGUGCCAGCCACCAUUAUUCUCUACAAUAAGGUCCAACAUCAGCAUGCCACCUACCACCGGGUUAAGGUUCCGCUCCUGCCAGAUUAAGUGGAAGUGAUGUCAAAUUGAGAUUUAUUCGUCUCAAAGUGUCACUAUCAUCUCAAAUGUCUUUUACUCUAUUCUGUCUCUACAGACCGCCAUUGUCCAUGUCAAUUUUAUUAUCAGUUUAAUUCCAUGUUAAACGAAUGUGACUUUGACAAAGCAGUUAUAAUUAAUGGGUGAUUUUAAUGUAAAUUGGGAAGUCUGAAAAAAAAUCCCUAAAACCUCAAAUUGAUUGCAUCGAUGCAAGGAUAACCCACUCUAUGGGGUGCCAUUUGUAAUGGCGCACGUUCUAAAAUCCUGCUCAGUUUUGGUACAUUUAGCAUUAUCAUAUGAAAAAAAGCACGACAAAAUUCAGAUUUCCAACAUUUAGAGAAAUUCAUGUAAAUUCAUGCAAUAACUUGUCCAAGGAUAUGUUUGGCAGUAACACAAAGUUGUUAAAUAAUAUAAAUGUUUUAUCUAAAUGUAAAGGGAAAAAAAUGCAAUCUUUACACCCCCUUCCCCCAGCCAGGCAUUGGCUUAUCGGGGCCAUAAUAAGGUAUCAUGUCGGCCACAUUUACAUUGCCCCCCUUCAUCUUACCAGUCAAACAUUGAACCAGUGUUUAGUUUAUAGGACCUAAUUUCUUCUCUACCCUGACACCCAGCUGGGUGUAAAUUUGCUAGAGUAUUUGUCUGAGGGUUUAGACUGUGGGUAUGACCUAAUCCAGACAAGGGCACAUUUCCCCCAUAGUCUCACUGGAACUCAGGCAACCACCAGUCCCAGUCUUAAUGGUAAUCACCCACAAAGGAGGCCAUCAUAGUCUUCAGCGUCCGGUUGACCCUCGCCGUAGGUUAUUAAAUGGCUUGUGAAUUGGGGUCCCUUAUCUGAGAUUAGGUCCGCUGGGACCCCCCCGGCGGGGAUGUCAUUUUUUAGGGUUAGGGUUAGACCGUUGGUGUUUUGGCAUCCUUCAGUGCAAAAAGCUCUACCGAUUUAGUGUAGUGGUCCACUACUACCAUGAGGACCAAAUUCCGGGCCUUGCUGAGUGGGAAGGGCCCAAUGAAGUCCAGCCCUAUCAUCUCCCCGGGCUCACUAACCUCAGUUGUCUGGAGUUGACCCCCCCUUCCCCCCCGAUACAACGCUCCUUGUGUUGUAUCAGAUGUUUUCAAGACUGCUACUAACAGUCCGGAUGAGUUCACUGAGGCUGCAACAUCUUACAUCGGCUUCUGUGAGGACAGCUGUGUACCAUCAUGCACCAGGGUGAGUUACAACAACGACAAACCCUGGUUCACAGCGGAACUCAGAACACUACGCCUGCAGAAGGAUCAGGGAUUUCUCUGUAUCACGUUCCCCUCCCCCCUCACCAGCAACGGCCCUCUCUAUUCUGGAGAGAGACGUUAACCGGCUCUUGAAAAGACAAAACCCCCGUAAGGCAGCCGGCUCGGACUCCGUCUCUCUCCGCACCCUGAAGCAUUGUGCUGACCAGCUGUCUCCGGUGUUCACUGAGAUCUUCAACACCUCCCUGGAGACAUGCCACGCACCAGCCUGCUUCAAGGCGUCCACCAUCAUCCCUGUUCCCAAGAAGCCCAGGAUCAAAGGACUCAAUGACUACAGGCCUGUCACAGCACAUGAAGCUGGGGACAUAUGUCUCUGCCUCCCAGACCAUCAGCACCAGUUCCCCCCAAGGCUGCGUUCUUUCCCCUCUGCUCUUCUCCCUGUACACCAACAGCUGCACCUCCAGUCACCAGUCCGUCGAGCUCCUGAAGUUUGCGGAUGACACCACCCUCAUUGGACUGAUCUCUGGUGGGGAUGAGUCCGCCUACAGGUGGAGUCUGACCAUCUGGUGUCGUGGUGCAGUCAGAACAACCUGGAGCUCAACGCUCUAAAGACAGUGGAGAUGGUUGUGGAUUUCAGAAUGAGGGCAGCCCCUCCAGCCCCCCUAAGCUGGACGACUGUGGGUGAGUGGGGAGCAGGUCAUCCUCCAAUCAGAGGGUUGUUGGUUCGAUCCCAGGCCCUGCUAAACCGCACGUCGAUGUGUCCUUGGGCAAGACACUUAACCCGACAUUGCUCCUGUAGCUGUGACUACAGUGUGUGAAUGUUAGUUACUGAUGGCAGGUGUCACUGUGUGUGGUUCUCCUGUCAUCAGUGUUUGAAUGGGUGUGAAUGGGCGAAUAAUGUCAUGUAGUGUUAUAGCGCUUUGAGUGGUCAGAAGACUAGAAAAGCGCUAUAGAAGUACAGUCCAUUUACUAUUUGCUAUCACCCUGUGUGACUCUUCCGAUUCCCGGGCUCCAUCAUCACCCAGGACCUCAAGUGGGAGCUGAACAUCAGCUCAUCCGCUCUGCAGAGAGGGUCAUCGGCUGCAAUCUGCCGUCCCUCCAGGACUUGUUCACUUCUAGCACCCUGAAACGAGCUAGAAAGAUUGUAGCCGACCCGUCUCACCCCGGACGAAACCUGUUUGUGCCCCUUUCAUCAUGGCAGGAGGCUGACUUCAAAAGAAUUCAUGACUACAGAGGUCAGGGCGACGGGCCUGUAGUCAUUGAGUCCUGUGAUCCUGGGCUUCUUGGGAACCGGGAUGAUGGUGGAGGCCUUGAAGCAGGCUGGUACGUGGCAUGUCUCCAGGGAGGUGUUGAAGAUGUCAGUGAACACCGGAGACAGCCGGUCAGCAAAAAUUCUUCAGGGUGUGAGGGGAGACUGAGUCCGGGCCGGCUGCCUUACCGGAGAUUUGUCUUUUAAAGAGCCGGUUAACGUCUCUCUCCAGAAUAGAGAGGGUCGUUGCACCCGCCCGUAGUUAUUACUGCACAAAGUUAUGAACCUGAAAUAUCACUUUCUAAGUCGUUAACGUUACAGAAUAAAUACACAAAGAAACUGAACUUGCUUUGCUCCAUUUGUUGGGUUGUGUGAUUAUAAACUAACUUUACAUUUAGUUGUGCUUUGAGUUCUUCUCUCACCCUGAAAUAUAUCAUGCUCCUAAAUUAAAUGAAAUAGAUUAUCUUCUUUUUCUGUACUUUGUCCUUUAAGGCUUUUACUGUCACGCGCAGCAGGUUGCUAGGCAACAGGAGUAGCGGAGGUAACGCUGAUGACGCAAGCGGGAAGUCCCCUCAUAGGACAGACCGUCCCGUUUCAGAGACCGUUCGGUUCAGCCUAUGCGGUUGUUGAAGGACGCAGGUCUACCGCGAAGGCUGCAGGCUACAAGGAUGCAGCCUAGAGACUUUGAGACACAGCUAUUGAUCCUUCUUCUUCUUUGGUGUUCAUUGGCAGUUGGCAAACCAUCUUAGAGGUGCAUUACCGCCACCAUCUGGACUGGAGUGUGGAACGGGAGUCCAUGCAGAACCAAAAUAGAUAAAUAAAAGAGUCGUUAGCUGUGUCUCAAAGUCGCUAGGGUGCAUCCUUGUAGCCUUCAUAUUUAAUUUAAUUUAGGAAGAUACGCUUCUCCUCCAGGAGAUUAAGGAAUUUUUAUUUAUUUUUUUGCAUAGGAUACAAGCUAUUUUAACUGUAAAAUAUUAGGUCCACGCUACAGUAGCUCCUUCAGCUUGAUGCUGCUCCUGCUCCAUAAAACACAACUAAAUGUAAAGUUAAUUCAUAAUCACACUACAAAACAAAAGGAGCAAAGCAAGUUCAGUUUCUUUGUGUAUUUAUUCUGUAUCACUAGCUUAGUGAUAUUUCAGGUUCAUAACUUUACGUGACAUUACAGGUCAUUUAGCUGACGCUUACAUUGCAUUUUUAACCCAUAGUUUUUACAUUUUGCCCAGAGACCAAUUAGGGCUUAGGUGUCUUGCUCAGGGACACUUGGACAUGGAGCAGCCGGGGGUCGAACCGCCAACCUUGCAGUUCCGGCGCACCUUCUCUACUCCAUGGGAACUUCUGUUCAUAGUAUGACGUAUAAACUAUAUAUGAAACCGUCACAGCGUCAGCCUCUGAAGUGUGAAAGUCAUUAAAGUGACUUUUCACUAAUAACUACAGAUGAGCUCCCGUUAAACUGCACGGACCAGGAGGGGUUCAGGUACGAGCCUGAGUAACAGGCUGUGUGUGGGGGGGGCAGCAGGACGGAGUUAAAGUUAAGACUUUAGAACAAACUGCUCUUAUGUUAAUUUAAAAACUCGACAUCGGUUACCAACGUCGUGUCACGUAAUAUUGAUUUCAUAAAGUAAGAUAUGAUGUUAUAUAUUACAGUAUAACAUUUCUAUCUGUAGAUAUUCGAGGGAAUUAUAUUAUUUAUUAUUAUUAUUAAGUAAUCUAUUACAUUUAAAAGUGAACACUUCCGCGCUGUCGGACCAGCCGUCUCCAUCCUGAAUGAAUUAAAACCUGGUCGGCCCGCACUGCAUGCUGGGAUAUGCUGGUCCACAAAGGACAGAUCAGAUGUGUCCUCCAAACGCGUCUCCUGGAGGACCACGUUCGGAGGAGCCGACGGAUUGGGACAGCCGAGUCGCAGCGGAAGUGACGAAUGCGGUGGACGAAUGAGUCCUUAAGGAUGCAUCCUAGCGACUUGGGAGACACAGACAAAGCCGUUUAUCCAGUGCAGGCACUGCAGCCACCAGGCACGUGGCAUUGGUCACACCCGCAGCCCAUCAACUGAUUGGAAGGAGGAUAUGUUCAGAGCUGAGCAGCAGCAGUGAGGGAAAGACGUAGCAGGAGACAGAGAUCUCGUCAUACUCAUGAAAGCGCAAGUGAUCCUGAGGACCAUGUGCCUGCUGAGGAGGCCAGUUAAAGUCCAAAUGAACCGUGUGUAAGAAUUCAGUCUAAAUUAUUUGUUGAGAGACCAUUUACAUGACUAAUGUUGUAGAUAUUAUUUUGGUCAAUCUGAACACUUUCGUUAAUAAAAGUAAGCUACAGGCCGGCACUGAAAGCUUGGUGUCUUCAUAACAGCUGAUGUGGGUGGAUUUUCCUUUGGUGCUGCUGGCAGAUUUACACUGUCAACAUUCAGUGUAAAAUGGACAAGGAAAGCACUUUUUGGAGGGGGUUUCCUGCGAGGGUUUUGGGACAGAGGAUGUCGCAUGUGUACAAAUUUGUGAUCUCUGAUUUUGGACUAUAUAAAAUAAAAUGAAUUGAAGAAAAAAGGGAAUACUCAUUAUAAAUUCACCACCAGUCUUGGUUGGAGAAAAUGGGGCAAGUAAAAGGGAUAAUGAAGGCCGGCGCAUGUUUCUGCGUUUGCGUCUGCGUCGUUGCGUCGACGCACUCGUUUCACUUCCUGGUUCUAAAGUCUUGCGUGUGUUGCGGAGCAAUUCACGGCCAGAACAACAGGCGGAGUGACGUGUUUUGUUGAAGACGUCACGUCUAUUUAUUUAUUUAUUUAUUUGUUUAUUUAUCAUAGACUUUAUUGCCCCGUGCAUCCACACUGCUGCUUUUCAUUGCGGAAACAUUUGUCCCGUAUUUUCCUCCACAACUUUGUUCCUCUCGACUGGCAAACCGGCGUUUGCGGUGAUCUCCCUCCGUGAAUCCAACCCGCUUCUACAACCCGCCAAUGACGGCUUGUACAAGUGCUCAUAUUUACACAUUUCUUCAGACAAAAGUUCUUCAAUCUGCUCCGUUCUCUCGUAAACAUUCUUCGUUUUAAUAAUGGUGCUAUCGGGCUAUGAAAGCGGAAAUGUGAGACUCCGUAAAGGACGUAGUUAGCGCACCAAUCGCAGCCUGGUGCGCCGCGGGAGGCUUGCGUCGCAGAAAAAUGGCUCGACACACGCAAGGACGCAAGGAGGUGUGGAAAGCGAUGCAAGGGACACGCAAGGGGGGCUUGCGUCUGCGUCGCUCUGAAAACGCAGAAGCAUAAACUAGGCUUUAGUGAGCGGCACUCUUUGGAAAGUCCUCAAAAAACUAAAUGAAGUAGAGGCGGAAGAGAAGGGGAGGUUGGGCAUGUCUAGCUUGCUGCGAACGCUGCUGUGUCUUCCUAUAAAAUACUAACAACACAUAAUCAUCAAGGCCUUAACUGAACCUACAGUGUACAAGGUAUCGUUUUUUGGACCUUUUACUAAUCUUAAUACCAGUGUAGUCUCAGUACUGACUUUUAACAGUCUCACAACCUGCAAAUGGUGGUAAAGGCUGCCCUCAGCUGUUGAAAUUUGGUGGUUAACUGGUGUUAGUUACGCAGGUCAUAAUUCCCUCUCUAACAUCUAUUGUACAAUGGCUUGGGGCCAAAUGUUUCCAUCAAAUGUCUUUACCGUAUUUUCCGCACUAUAAAACGCAAGAAGUCGUUCUUGCCGAGCACAUAAUGAGAUUAAAGAGCGAGAGACGGUGAACUUUUCUUUACAGUAGCUGAACCAUCUUAACGGGGAAAAUAAGUUAUUCUAAAAGGAGCCCUUGGCAGGCAGCGUGGCUGGAGAGCAGCCGAAGAUUUAAGGCGUGGAUGGCGAGGGGGGCGGCGGGAGCGGACGCACCUCGCAGCAUCGAUCGGACCCUGAAAGCACCGUCUCUUCGGAGGAAAACAGCACCUCAGUUGCCCAAGUAAUGGACCGGGCUCCUUUAAUACAGCUGUUUACUUAUUCAGUUCUUUACUUUACACUGCAUCUGGAAAGUAUUCACAGCACUUCACUUUUUCCACAUUUUGUUAUGUUACAGCCUUAUUCCAAAAUGGAUUAAAUUCAUUAUUUUCCUCAACAUUCUACACACAACAACCCAUAAUGACAAAGUGAAAACUGUUUUUGAAGAUUUUGGCAAAUCUGUUAAAAAUAAAGAAAUAAAACGUAACAUGUACAUAAGUAUUCACAGCCUUUGCCAUGACACUCAAAAUUGAGCUCAGGUGCCUCCUGUUUCCACUGAUCAUCCUUGAGAUGUUUCUACAACUUGAUAGGAGUCCACCUGCUGACAGUGCGUAUCAGAGCAUAAACCAAGCCAUGAAGGCCAAGGAAUUAUCUGUAGACCUCUGAGACAGAAUUGUAUCGAGGCACAGAUCUGGCGAAGGGUACAGAAAGAUUUCUGCAGCAUUGAAAGUCUCAAUGAGCACAGUGGCCUCCAUCAUCCGGAAAUGGAAGAAGUUUGGAACCACCAGGACUCUUCCUAGAGUGGGCCGCCCAGCCAGACUGAGCGAUCGGGGGAGAAGGGCCUUAGUCAGGGAGGUGACCAGGAACCCCAUGGUCACUCUGACAGAGCUCCAGCGUUGUUCUAUGAAGAGGAGAAUCUUCCAGAAGGACCACCAUCUCUGCAGCACUCCACAAAUCAGGCCCGUUUGGUAGAGUGGCCAGACGGAAGCCACUCCUCAGUAAAAAGCACAUGACAGCCUGCCUGAAGGACUCUCAGACCAUGAGAAAUAAAAUUCUCUGAUGAAACAAAGAUUGAACUCUUUGGCCUGAAUGCCAAGCGUCAUGUGUGGAGGAAACCAGGCACUGCUCAUCACCUGGCCAAUACCAUCGCUACAGUGAAGCAUGGUGGUGGCAGCAUCAUGCUGUGGGAUGUUUUUCAGCGGGAGGAACUGGGAGACUAGUCAGGAUUGAGGGAAAGAUGAAUGCAGCAAUGUACAGAGACAUCCUCGAUGAAAACAUGCUCCAAAGAGCACUGGACCUCAGACUGGGGCGACGGUUCAUCUUCCAACAGGACAACGACCCGAAGCACAUAGCCAAGAUAACAAAGGCUUCGGCACAACUCUGAAUGUCCUUGAGUGGCCCAGCCAGAGCCCUGACCUGAACCCGAAUGAACAUCUCUGGAGAGAUCUGAAAAUGGCUGUGCACCGACGCUCCCCAUCCAACCUGACGGAACUUGAGAGGUUCUGCAAAGAAGAAUGGGAGAAACUGCCCAGAAAUAGGUGUGCCACGCUUGUGGAAUCACACCCAAGAAGACUUGAGGCUGUAAUUGCUCCCAAAGGUGCUUCAACAAAGUAUUGAGCAAAGGCUGUGAAUACUUAUGUACAUGUUAUGUUUUCAUUCUUUGUUUUUAACAGAUUUGCAAAAAACAGUUUUGACUUUGUCAUUAUGGGUUGUUGUGUGUAGAAUGUUGAGGAAAAUAAUGAAUUUAAUCCAUUUUGGAACAAGGCUGUAACAUAACAAAAUGUGAAGCGCUGUGAAUACUUUCCGGAUGCACUGUAAAUCACAUUUAAACAGAUGGCCUUUUAAAUGAUCCUAAUCCAAUGCUUAUUUUCACAAAAUAGAGCAUCAACACAUCAAGAUUAACCCUAAGAAACCUCCAUUCACAUCGGCUGGUUAUUUAGACAAGCAGGAAUAUGCUGCUUUUGGUUUUCAGGGCUGUGUGUCCCUCUUGACUAAUGAGCAAAGUGAAAAGCAGCAGAGCUUGGUAAAUUGUAGCUUGUGUGAAUACCUCACUUCUUAAUCAAUAAAAAAUUAGGUAGCAAAAAUAUUUGAUUCAAUUCAGUAUUGCCAGGUAGUUGCCAAAAACUCUUUUGAUAAAGAGUUUUGAUAACUUGACCACACACACUGCAUGAAAAGUGAGAUUUUCGUCCCCGUAAACGCCCGGAAAUCUCCCUAAUUUCCGUCAAUUUCCGACAAUUUGCAACCCGCGCACGUUGCGUUUGUCUGUGCCACAAAUUGUCGGAAACGAACGAACCGUAUAUGCGGAGAGCUGGCGGAGGUGCGAAUGGCCCGAAUUAGCAUAUGAAUGCAGCGAAACCGUGGGUGGCCGAGGGGAGAGGGCUUGAAUAUCCUUACUCCUUAUUGGAUGAAACCACAACUUACUAACAAAUAAAAUCACUCGUGAUUGGCAGCAAAACCACACGUGGGCAGACCAGGCUUGAGUUUCCUUGUCGCUAUUGGUCACCCGCCUCAUUUUAUUUAUAUAUUCAUAUUAUGAUGUAUAUUCAUUUCAUGGUUAUCCUAUGUAGGCUACUACACUAUUAUUAGGAUACCAACCAGGACAUCAAUGCAUUUAUAGAGAAAAUGAACAUUUGACACAUGUUUAUGCAAAGAAAGAGCUUUAUUAACAACAUACAAACAACAACUACAUACAAAG